ACAAAUAUUAUUUCAUUUGAUCACAGAACAACCUUGCAAAGUAGGUAGUAUUAUCAACCCCAUUUGACAGAUGAGGAAACUGGGGCAAAGAGAGAUGAAGGGAUUGGCCCAGGCUCACACAACUAGUAAGUGCUUAUGACUAGAUUUGAACUCAGGUCUUCCUGACUCUGGGUUUGAUGCUCUAUCUCCUAGAAGAGUGGAAGUACCCAAGUUACAAAUCAAUUUUUAUAAAAUAACCCAUUGGCAAUCAGAAGGCAGCUUGACAUCAUUUUUCUUUUCUUUUAUGCAGAAUUUUCAAACAAAUUGACUCUAAAGGCUUAAAGAGUUAAAGAAGACUUAAAAAAAAAAAACAACCAACCAUGCAAACCAGUGACCAUGUUUCCUGGAUCUAUUUCAGUGCCCUUCCUGGACAUCUGCAGCUUAUCGAUGUCGUAGUUGAAGUGU
Molecule: long non-coding RNA, 444 nt
Filed under: Monodelphis domestica (gray short-tailed opossum)
Lineage: Eukaryota; Metazoa; Chordata; Mammalia; Didelphimorphia; Didelphidae
Description: lncRNA (ENSMODG00000049593.1)
Source: RNAcentral